This 260-nucleotide ribosomal RNA is filed under the name uncultured bacterium. RNAcentral's name for it is "partial 16S ribosomal RNA". It matches the Rfam family "Bacterial small subunit ribosomal RNA", at positions 15 to 257 of the family's 1533-position model. The record is from RNAcentral.
GAUCCUGGCUCAGGAUGAACGCUGGCGGCGUGCUUAACACAUGCAAGUCGAACGGGAAAUAUUUUAUUGAAACUUCGGUAGAUUUAAUUUAUUUCUAGUGGCGGACGGGUGAGUAACGCGUGGGUAACCUGCCUUAUACUGGGGGGAUAACAGCCAGAAAUGGCUGCUAAUACCGCAUAAGCGCACAGGACCGCAUGGUCCGGUGUGAAAAACUCCGGUGGUAUAAGAUGGACCCGCGUUGGAUUAGCUAGUUGGCAGGG